UAGGGAAUCUUCCACAAUGGGCGAAAGCCUGAUGGAGCAACGCCGCGUGUGUGAUGAAGGGUUUCGGCUCGUAAAACACUGUUGUAAGAGAAGAAUGACAUUGAGAGUAACUGUUCAAUUGUGUGACGGUAUCUUACCAGAAAGGAACGGCUAAAUACGUGCCAA
This 165-nucleotide ribosomal RNA is filed under the name uncultured bacterium. RNAcentral's name for it is "partial 16S ribosomal RNA". It matches the Rfam family "Bacterial small subunit ribosomal RNA", at positions 355 to 511 of the family's 1533-position model. The record is from RNAcentral.